This is an unclassified non-coding RNA of Papio anubis (olive baboon), 152 nucleotides long. It matches the Rfam family "Metazoan signal recognition particle RNA". From Rfam's summary of the family: The signal recognition particle (SRP) is a universally conserved ribonucleoprotein. It is involved in the co-translational targeting of proteins to membranes. Lineage: Eukaryota; Metazoa; Chordata; Mammalia; Primates; Cercopithecidae. The record is from Ensembl.
GCCAGGCGUGGUGGUGCACACCUGUAGUCCCAGCUACUCAGGAGGCUGAGGCAGGAGAAUCACUUGAACCCAGGAGGGAGGUGGAGGUUGCAGUGAGCUGAGAUAGCGCCACUGCACUCCACCCUGGGUGAUAGAGUAAGACUCUGUCUCAA